Molecule: transfer RNA, 72 nt
Filed under: Apaloderma vittatum (bar-tailed trogon)
Lineage: Eukaryota; Metazoa; Chordata; Aves; Trogoniformes; Trogonidae
Rfam family: tRNA
About the family: Transfer RNA (tRNA) molecules are approximately 80 nucleotides in length. Their secondary structure includes four short double-helical elements and three loops (D, anti-codon, and T loops).
Source: Rfam by way of RNAcentral
GGCUGGUUAGCUCUGUCAGUUAAGCAUGGCACUAACAACGCCAAGGUCGCAGGUUCGAUUCCUGUUCGGUCC